RNAcentral lists this ribosomal RNA (253 nucleotides) under uncultured bacterium. RNAcentral describes it as "partial 16S ribosomal RNA". It matches the Rfam family "Bacterial small subunit ribosomal RNA", at positions 524 to 776 of the family's 1533-position model. The record is from RNAcentral.
UACGAAGGUCCCAAGCGUUAUCCGGAUUUAUUGGGUUUAAAGGGUGCGUAGGCGGGUUAUUAAGUCAGUGGUGAAAGCCUACAGCUUAACUGUAGAAUUGCCAUUGAUACUGAUAAUCUUGAGUAUGAUUGAGGUGGGCGGAAUGUGUCAUGUAGCGGUGAAAUGCUUAGAUAUGACACAGAACACCGAUUGCGAAGGCAGGUUACUACUAAUGGAUUGACGCUGAUGGACGAAAGCGUGGGUAGCGAACAGG